Molecule: transfer RNA, 73 nt
Filed under: Hofstenia miamia
Lineage: Eukaryota; Metazoa; Xenacoelomorpha; Acoela; Hofsteniidae
Description: tRNA-Ser for anticodon GCU
Rfam family: tRNA
About the family: Transfer RNA (tRNA) molecules are approximately 80 nucleotides in length. Their secondary structure includes four short double-helical elements and three loops (D, anti-codon, and T loops). Further hydrogen bonds mediate the characteristic L-shaped molecular structure. tRNAs have two regions of fundamental functional importance: the anti-codon, which is responsible for specific mRNA codon recognition, and the 3' end, to which the tRNAs corresponding amino acid is attached (by aminoacyl-tRNA synthetases). tRNAs cope with the degeneracy of the genetic code in two manners: having more than one tRNA (with a specific anti-codon) for a particular amino acid; and 'wobble' base-pairing, i.e. permitting non-standard base-pairing at the 3rd anti-codon position.
Source: RNAcentral
CGCAUAGUAAUUCAGUUGGAAGAAUAUUUGUCUGCUAAACAAACGGUCGCAGGUUCAACUCCUGCCUUUGCAA